UCUGUGGGUUUGAGUUGUUAUGUGCCUUGUUUAGAGAGAAGGGAAGAGAUGAGAAUGAAGAGAGAGAGUGGUGGAAGCUUAAGGGGUGAUGUGGUGUGAAAAGAGAAAAGUCAAGAGUGAAUUGAAUUUGAAAUGAAUGAACGAAAAGAGAGAUGAACGGGGUUCCUUAUUAUUUUAUUGCAAGAAAUAGUAUGAAUUACUAAAAGGUG
Molecule: long non-coding RNA, 209 nt
Filed under: Lupinus angustifolius (narrow-leaved blue lupine)
Lineage: Eukaryota; Viridiplantae; Streptophyta; Magnoliopsida; Fabales; Fabaceae
Description: long non-coding RNA (LANG_LNC002528)
Source: RNAcentral